AUAUCGGGUAUAUUCUCAUGGUAGGUAUACGGUAUGUACUGUAAGUAUAAAAAGAGCUGGUAUGUUUGAAAGCAUCAGUUUAACAAGUAACUACGCAACUUCAGCAUGAAGCUAACUUUCUUUCUUCUUAUUGUAACUUUGUGUACACUUGCAGCAAAUGGCUACGGUGUGCCAGAUUUGCAAGAGGUUGCCGCCGCAGCCCAAGAGAUGGCGCCACCCGGCCAAGGGACUUUGGUCCGUGUUGCCAGGGCGGACUGCAACCCCAACACCUGCGAGAGUAACUGUCGCUGGUGCUUCAACGGGAAAUGCCACUGUGACUGGCAGUAGACUUAAUCUGCCUUCCCCAGUUUUUUUUUUAAUUUAAAAUAAAAGUUUGUCUUAAAACGUA
Long non-coding RNA from Plutella xylostella (diamondback moth), 388 nucleotides. RefSeq lists it as uncharacterized. NCBI's taxonomy places the organism in Eukaryota, Metazoa, Arthropoda, Insecta, Lepidoptera, Plutellidae. The record is from RefSeq and is a predicted model, not a curated record.